RNAcentral lists this ribosomal RNA (238 nucleotides) under Didymorchis sp. RAQ-2009. RNAcentral's name for it is "partial 18S ribosomal RNA". It matches the Rfam family "Eukaryotic small subunit ribosomal RNA", at positions 1235 to 1492 of the family's 1831-position model. Lineage: Eukaryota; Metazoa; Platyhelminthes; Rhabdocoela; Temnocephalidae. The record is from RNAcentral.
CCGGACCUGUAGGAUWGACAGAAUGAUAGCUCUUUUUUGAUUCAGUGGAUGGUGGUGCAUGGCCGUUCUUAGUUGGUGGAGUGAUUUGUCUGGUUAAUUCCGAUAACGAACGAGACUCUAAUCUGCUAACUAGUAUGCUGAUUCAGGCACUUCGGUGUCACAGUCAGUGCUGACUUCUUAUAGAGAUAAGCGGAUUUAAGCCGCAAGAAAGAGAGCAAUAACAGGUCUGUGAUGCCCA